RNAcentral lists this ribosomal RNA (401 nucleotides) under uncultured bacterium. RNAcentral describes it as "bacterial SSU rRNA". It matches the Rfam family "Bacterial small subunit ribosomal RNA", at positions 354 to 772 of the family's 1533-position model. The record is from RNAcentral.
GUGGGGAAUAUUGGACAAUGGGCGAAAGCCUGAUCCAGCCAUGCCGCGUGAGUGAUGAAGGCCUUAGGGUUGUAAAGCUCUUUUAGUGGGGAAGAUAAUGACGGUACCCACAGAAAAAGCCCCGGCUAACUUCGUGCCAGCAGCCGCGGUAAUACGAAGGGGGCUAGCGUUGUUCGGAUUUACUGGGUGUAAAGCGCACGUAGGCGGAUCGUUAAGUCGGGGGUGAAAUCCUGGAGCUCAACUCCAGAACUGCCUUCGAUACUGGCAAUCUCGAGUCCGGAAGAGGUGAGUGGAACUCCUAGUGUAGAGGUGGAAUUCGUAGAUAUUAGGAAGAACACCAGUGGCGAAGGCGGCUCACUGGUCCGGUACUGACGCUGAUGCGCGAAAGCGUGGGUAGCAAA